Molecule: ribosomal RNA, 450 nt
Filed under: uncultured bacterium
Lineage: Bacteria
Description: bacterial SSU rRNA
Rfam family: Bacterial small subunit ribosomal RNA
Source: RNAcentral
GUGGGGAAUUUUGGACAAUGGGGGCAACCCUGAUCCAGCCAUGCCGCGUGAGUGAAGAAGGCCUUCGGGUUGUAAAGCUCUUUCGGACAGAAAGAAAUCGUGCGGGCCAAUACCCUGCAUGGAUGACGGUACUGUAAGAAGAAGCACCGGCUAACUACGUGCCAGCAGCCGCGGUAAUACGUAGGGUGCGAGCGUUAAUCGGAAUUACUGGGCGUAAAGCGUGCGCAGGCGGUUUCGUAAGACAGAUGUGAAAUCCCCGGGCUUAACCUGGGAACUGCAUUUGUGACUGCGAGGCUAGAGUACGGCAGAGGGGGGUAGAAUUCCACGUGUAGCAGUGAAAUGCGUAGAUAUGUGGAGGAAUACCGAUGGCGAAGGCAGCCCCCUGGGUCGAUACUGACGCUCAUGCACGAAAGCGUGGGGAGCAAACAGGAUUAGAAACCCUUGUAGUCC